Molecule: ribosomal RNA, 397 nt
Filed under: uncultured bacterium
Lineage: Bacteria
Description: partial 16S ribosomal RNA
Rfam family: Bacterial small subunit ribosomal RNA
Source: RNAcentral
AUACGUAGGGGGCGAGCGUUGUCCGGAAUGAUUGGGCGUAAAGGGCGCGUAGGCGGCCCGGUAAGUCCGGAGUGAAAGUCCUGCUUUUAAGGUGGGAAUUGCUUUGGAUACUGUCGGGCCUGAGUGCAGGAGAGGUAAGUGGAAUUCCCAGUGUAGCGGUGAAAUGCGUAGAGAUUGGGAGGAACACCAGUGGCGAAGGCGACUUACUGGACUGUAACUGACGCUGAGGCGCGAAAGUGUGGGGAGCAAACAGGAUUAGAUACCCUGGUAGUCCACACUGUAAACGAUGAAUGCUAGGUGUAGGGGGUAUCGACCCCUUCUGUGCCGCAGUUAACACAAUAAGCAUUCCGCCUGGGGAGUACGGCCGCAAGGUUGAAACUCAAAGGAAUUGACGGGG